UUUCUUUUGUGUAUUUUUUUGAGAUAGGGUCUCUCUAUGUAGUUCAGGCUGGCCUUUAACUCACUAUCUAGCCCAGGCUGGCCUCUAACUCAUGGCAAUCCUCCUGCCUUGGCCUC
This 116-nucleotide microRNA precursor is filed under the name Fukomys damarensis (Damara mole-rat). Its description in RNAcentral is "miRNA (ENSFDAG00000003365.1)". Lineage: Eukaryota; Metazoa; Chordata; Mammalia; Rodentia; Bathyergidae. The record is from RNAcentral.